Molecule: ribosomal RNA, 252 nt
Filed under: uncultured bacterium
Lineage: Bacteria
Description: partial 16S ribosomal RNA
Rfam family: Bacterial small subunit ribosomal RNA
Source: RNAcentral
ACGGAGGGUGCAAGCGUUAUCCGGAUUUACUGGGUUUAAAGGGUGUGUAGGCGGAUAUUUAAGUCAGAGGUGAAAUCUCCGAGCUCAACUCGGAAACUGCCUUUGAUACUAUUUAUCUUGAAUUUCGUUGAGGUUGGCGGAAUAUAUCAUGUAGCGGUGAAAUGCAUAGAUAUGAUAUAGAACACCGAUUGCGUAGGCAGCUGGCUGAACGAACAUUGACGCUGAGGCACGAAAGCGUGGGUAGCGAACAGG